This 1221-nucleotide long non-coding RNA is filed under the name Anser brachyrhynchus (Pink-footed goose). RNAcentral describes it as "lncRNA (ENSABRG00000004900.1)". Lineage: Eukaryota; Metazoa; Chordata; Aves; Anseriformes; Anatidae. The record is from RNAcentral.
UUUAUUUAUUUUAACGGUGAUAAAAUAACGGCACCUGGAAUAGUUUUGUGUACAUUUCCCAUUCCUCUUGCCCUGCUGCCUCAGCCCUGGGCAUGCCAGGGAGACCACCACGGUGUGUGGAAAACAGAGGCCCACACUAUCAUUUGCAGGAUCACUCAAUCUUAGAUAAAUUAAUAAAAAAGUCAACACAUGGCUGUGGGCUUUAUGGCAGGUGAAGCGGUGAUGAAGAUGAGCAAAGGCAGCACAGGGGUGUGGAGGAGCUGGUGCAGCCAUGGUGACGGGCUGGCAGCCCCCAUGUGGGCCCUCCAUGGAGGGCAGCUGGGAGCUGCUCCUGCAGAGCAGGCCAGGCCCCUGGGCCCCUCACACUUUCCUGCAAACCCCAUCUCACCUAGCAAGGAGGAGCUGUGAGGCAGUACUGGUCAGCAGUGGGGAGGAUGACAGCUUCCACAGCGGCCUGUUCCUCCCACCGUGUGUAGCACUGAUUCACCUUUUGGUAUUAAAAAGAAAAAUAUAAGCUGAUAAGCUAUCCCCAGGCAGCACUUUCAUGCUACCCAAGACAGCCUCUGUGGCUGCAGAGAUCCUUCAAUAAGCUGUCAAGAGCUGGCGUCCCUGUGUAAAGAGCUGUUCGUCCCUAUAUCUCAUUUUAGAUUGAUGUACGUGCCACUUUCAUAUCCUUCAGCUCAGCGUAACAUUUGCCCUUUCAUGUUCUCAGUUUAAGCCACUGGGAAUUGAAAGCUAUUUCAAAGCAUAAUUAUAGCAAUCUGCAUAUAAAAGGCUAUAUGUCCUACAGAGGAUUCUGCAGAAAAAAGCAAACUCCUCGAAAGAAGAAAAUUAGAAGUAAAUCCCACAACUUAGAUUCAGUAGUUAAUACAUUUUUCAUCUGAUGUGAACAGUCUGUGGAUUUGUAAAGCCAAUGGAAAAUUGUCUAAGCCACUGUACUGAAUCAGUCUUCACCUAUGAAACAACGUAGCUGUUACAAGGGGCCCACAUCUUCAAAGCUUGCUCUCUCCUGGUGUGCUAUCCUGCACCUUAUUGACCUAAAGGCAUGCUGCAAGGCCCACUUGUUUAAGUGAGCUUUGAAGGGCUGGAGAGCUUCCCCACCUUCCUCCCUGUGGGCUGCUGCCAGCUCUUGAGGAAGGAGCGGUCUGUAGAAACAUCACUUGCUAAAAACAUCAUGAAAGAGAUAUAGAAGAGGCCUUUUAAAUAGGUAAAUCUAUCAAG